This 387-nucleotide ribosomal RNA is filed under the name uncultured bacterium. RNAcentral describes it as "partial 16S ribosomal RNA". It matches the Rfam family "Bacterial small subunit ribosomal RNA", at positions 338 to 722 of the family's 1533-position model. The record is from RNAcentral.
CCUACGGGUGGCAGCAGUGAGGAAUAUUGGUCAAUGGACGAGAGUCUGAACCAGCCAAGUAGCGUGAAGGAUGACUGCCCUAUGGGUUGUAAACUUCUUUUAUAUGGGAAUAAAAUGUUCCACGUGUGGGAUUUUGUAUGUACCAUAUGAAUAAGGAUCGGCUAACUCCGUGCCAGCAGCCGCGGUAAUACGGAGGAUGCGAGCGUUAUUCGGAUUUAUUGGGAGUAAAGGGAGCGUAGGUGGGUUGGUAAGUCAGUUGUGAAAGCCUGUGGCUUAACCGUAGAACUGCAGUUGAAACUGGCAGUCUAGAGUAUAGUAGAGGUAGGUGGAAUUCGUGGUGUAGCGGUGAAAUGCUUAGAUAUCAAGAAGAAUACCGAUUGCGAAGGC